UACAGAGGGUGCGAGCGUUGUUCGGAAUUAUUGGGCGUAAAGGGCGCGUAGGCGGUGCCACAAGUCACUUGUGAAAUCUCCGGGCUUAACUCGGAGCCUGCAGGCGAAACUGUGGUGCUGGAGUGUGGGAGAGGUGCGUGGAAUUCCCGGUGUAGCGGUGAAAUGCGUAGAGAUCGGGAGGAACACCAGAGGCGAAGGCGGCGACCUGGACAGGUACUGACACUCAACUACGAAAGCGUGGGUAGCAAACAGG
Molecule: ribosomal RNA, 253 nt
Filed under: uncultured bacterium
Lineage: Bacteria
Description: partial 16S ribosomal RNA
Rfam family: Bacterial small subunit ribosomal RNA
Source: RNAcentral